This 463-nucleotide ribosomal RNA is filed under the name uncultured bacterium. Its description in RNAcentral is "partial 16S ribosomal RNA". It matches the Rfam family "Bacterial small subunit ribosomal RNA", at positions 28 to 507 of the family's 1533-position model. The record is from RNAcentral.
GAUGAACGCUGACAGAAUGCUUAACACAUGCAAGUCGAUGGGGAAGUGGUGCUUGCACCAUGGCAACCAUGGCGGACGGGUGAGUAACGCGUAAGGGACUUACCUGCAGGACUGGGAUAACAGGGGGAAACUCCUGACAAGACCGGAUAAUGUCAUGGAGCUGCAUGGCUUUAUGAUGAAAGGAGACGCCUGCGGAGAGCCUUGCGUCCUAUUAGCUAGUUGGUGAGGUAAUGGCUCACCAAGGCGAAGAUAGGUAGCCGGCCUGAGAGGGUGGACGGCCACAAGGGGACUGAGAUACGGCCCUUACUCCUACGGGAGGCAGCAGUGGGGAAUAUUGGACAAUGGGGGCAACCCUGAUCCAGCAAUUCUGUGUGCACGAAGAAGGUUUUCGGAUUGUAAAGUGCUUUCAGCAGAGAAGAAGUAAGUGACGGUACCUGCAGAAGAAGCGACGGCUAAAUACGUG